AACGAACGCUGGCGGCAUGCCUAACACAUGCAAGUCGAACGAGCCCUUCGGGUCUUGUGUCGCACGGUUGCGUCACGCGUGGGAACCUUCCCUUAGGUUCGGCAUAACUCCCCGACAGGGGUGCUAAUACCGGACAAUGUCUUCGGCCCAAAGAUUUUUCGCCUUUGGAUGUUCCCGCGUUGGAUUCGCUCUUUCUUAGGGUAAUAGCCUACCACGGCGUGGAUGCAUAGCUGGUUUGAGAGAAAGAUCAGCCACACUGAGACUAAGACACGGCCUAGAAUCCUACGGGAGGGAGGAGAGGGGAAUAGAGGAAAAUGGGGGGAGGGAUGAAGGAGCAAGGCCGGGUGAGCGAUGAAAGCAUGAGGGUAGUAAAGCGCAAGUACCCGGGAAGAUAAUGACGGUACCGAGAGAAUAAGCUCCGGCUAACUACGUG
Molecule: ribosomal RNA, 433 nt
Filed under: uncultured bacterium
Lineage: Bacteria
Description: partial 16S ribosomal RNA
Rfam family: Bacterial small subunit ribosomal RNA
Source: RNAcentral